This 628-nucleotide long non-coding RNA is filed under the name Homo sapiens (human). RNAcentral's name for it is "long intergenic non-protein coding RNA 2532". Lineage: Eukaryota; Metazoa; Chordata; Mammalia; Primates; Hominidae. The record is from RNAcentral.
AGUGUGUAGACCUUGUACAAUAGAGCUUAUAGGCUAAUGAGAAGACAGGAAGAAACAACAGGAACACAUAUAGCUGGAAUGCAGAUGGGAUCUGUGCUACUUACGCUAGCCAUGGGAUGAUUAGAACAAGAUAAGAGACAUGAGGAAGACUUCUUCAAGGAGGUGCUCAAGCCAUGUUUUGGAAAAGAGAACUCAAGGUCUGGCAGGGAGAAAGGAGCAAGACUGCCUGGCAGCUCUUUAGAAAGUUGUGUGACGUAUGAACCAGUUCUUCCCUAUAUGAGAGUGUACCGUACAUCGCAGGCUGUCCAGCAUCGACCCCACUGAUGGAUGCUAGUAGUCCUCCCCGCCAGCACUCAACAUUGUGACAAGACCCCAGUAGAGAUGGUCCCCAAGCAUGCUAACCAUGAAGCAGUGAUAUCGCACAGCACCUGCUUCCAGCAGCCCGGAGCCAAGGGGCAAAAUGGAAAGAGUCAGCAUUUCUCUUUUAGGUUCUCUGCCUCUCUAGUGUGUAAGCUUUUAACCCCCACUACGCGUCUUCGUUCCAUUCUCCUCCAGUACCCAUUUUAGUGAGCUUCUGUUGUUUCUGCCCCAGGAUAUCUCUAACAAAGAACCAAGAUAUUUAUCAGGA